UGGCGGCGUGCCUAACACAUGCAAGUCGAACGAAGCAUUUGGAGUUGAUCCCUUCGGGGUGACGCACCUUAUGACUUAGUGGCGGACGGGUGAGUAACACGUGAGCAACCUGCCUCUCAGAGUGGAAUAACAGUUGGAAACGGCUGCUAAUACCACAUAACGUUUUUGUGCCGCAUGACACUUCAACCAAAGAUUUAUCGCUGAGAGAUGGGCUCGCGUCCGAUUAGGUAGAUGGUGGGGUAACGGCCUACCAUGCCGACGAUCGGUAGCCGGACUGAGAGGUCGAUCGGCCACAUUGGGACUGAGACACGGCCCAGACUCCUACGGGAGGCAGCAGUGGGGGAUAUUGCACAAUGGGCGCAAAGCCUGAUGCAGCAACGCCGCGUGCGGGAAGACGGCCUUCGGGUUGUAAACCGCUGUCCUUGGGGAAGAAACAAAUGACGGUACCCAAGAAGGAAGCCACGGCUAACUACGUGCCAGCCGCUGC
Molecule: ribosomal RNA, 487 nt
Filed under: uncultured bacterium
Lineage: Bacteria
Description: bacterial SSU rRNA
Rfam family: Bacterial small subunit ribosomal RNA
Source: RNAcentral